AGAGAGGGGAGGAAAAUCGAUAGAUCUCGAGAGAGAGAUUGGGAGAGAAAGAGAGUGACCGAAAUCGAGAGAGAGAGUGGGAGAGAAACUGAGAGAGAAGAGGAAAACCGAGAGAGAGAGUCAGAGAAAUCGAGAAAGAGAGAACGAUUGAGAGAGAGAUUGAGAGUGAGAGUGAGAGGGAGAGGGAGAGAGAAAUCGAGAGAGAGAGAGAUCGAGAGUGAGAGGGAGAGAGAAGCCAAGAAUAAGAGACUAAAUCGAGAGAGAGUAAGAGAACUUGAGAGAGAGGAACUAAGAGAGAGAGUGAGGGAAACCGAGGGAGAAAGAGGGACGAGAAAAGCCAAGAGAGAGAGAGAAUAAGGGAAAAUGAGAGAGAGAAGAGGAAAACCAAAAGAGAGUGAGAGAAAAUGAGAGAAAGAGAUAGGAGAGAUCGAGGGAGAGAGAGUGAGAGAGAAUGAGAGAGGGAGAAAUUGAGAGAGAAGAGGAAAAUCGAGAUAGAGAGAGAAAUCGAGAGAGAGAGAGAGACCAAGAAUGAGAGAGAGAGAGAAAUUGAGAAAGCAAGGAAAAUCGAGAGAGAGAGUGGGAGAAAUCGAGAAAGAGAGAAAGAUCGAGAGAGACCUAGAGCGAGAGGGAGAGAGAAAUCGAGAAAGAGAGAGGAGGAAAAUCGAGAGAGUGAGAGAAAUCGAGAAAGAGAGAGAAAGAUCGAGAGAGAUCGAGGGAGAGAGAAACCGAGAGUAAGAAAGAGUGGGAGAGAUCAAGGGAGAGAGUGAGAGAAAACGAGAGGGAGAAACCGCGAGAGGAGGAAAAUCGAGAGAGAGAAAUCAAGAAAGAGAGACCGAGAGUGAGGGAGAGAGAAAUCGAGAAAGAGAGUGGGGAAGAGAGUAAAAUUGAGAGAGUGAGAGGAAGAGAGAGUAAGACCGAGAGAGUGAGAGGAAGUCUAGAGAGAGAGAAGAGAAAAGCCGACAAGGAAAGAGAGUAAAAUCGAGAGAGAGAGAAGAGAAAAGCCGACAAGGAAAGAGAGUAAAAUUGAGAGAGAGAAGAAAAUAACCGAUAGAGCAAGGGAGAGAAUGGAGGAGAGAGAGUGUGAAAGAGGGAGGGGACCGAUGGCUUAGGUUGCCGGUCCGAGUGAGUGGGUGAGAAGGAGAGAGAGAGAAAGAGAGAGGAAAGAGGGAGGGGACCGGUGGCUUAGCCACUGAUCCGAGUGAGUGGGUGAGGAGAGUGCACAUGAGAGAAAAAGAGGGGACUGGAGGAGAGAGAGAAAGAGAGAGAGAAAGAGAGGGGACUGGGGGCUUAUCCCCCGAUUCGAGACCGAGAGAAAGAGAGAGAGAGAGAGGAAGAGAGAGGAGAGAGGAAGAGAGAAAUCGAGAGAAGGAGAAAGAAAAUAGAAGAAAGAGAGGGAGUGGGCUUAGCCUCGGUUCGAGAUCGAGAGAGAGAGAAGGAGAGAAGAGAGGAGAGAGGAGAGAGAAGAAGUAGAGAGAGAGAAGGAGAAGAGAGAGAGAAAGACGAAGAGAGAGAAAGAGGGGACUGGGGGCUUAGCGCCCAGUCGAGACGAGAGAGAGAGAGAAAGAGACGGGGAGAGCGAGAAACCGAGAGAGGGAGGGAAAAUCGAGAGAGAGGGAGAAGUGAGAGAAAGAUAGAAAGAGAGAAAGAGAGGGGACUGAGGGCUUAGCCCUCAGUCCGAGAUUGAGAUAGAGAAGAGAGGAGAGAGAGAGGAGAAGAAGAGAGAGAGAGGGGACUUGGGGACUUAGUCCUCGAUCAGAGAGAGAGAGAGAGAGAGAAAGGGAGGGUAAUGUUGGUUACCUAAUUUGAACCUUGGGUCCGUACCGGGGGCUAGGCUCCUAGCCUUCUUGGUGUAUCCUUCAAGGUGGGUUGAGUGCCUUGGUGUGGAAAUGAGCGUGUAGGGUUAAGGCUUAUGCACUAGGGACUAUUGAAAGUAGACCUAGGUGUAUGGAAUAAGGGCUACAGAAGGUGGGAGUGAAGGGUUCUAGGUUGGGAGUGGCAAAUCCUAGGUUGAAAGUGGAAGAUUCUAGGUUGGAAGUGGAAGGUUCUAGGUUGGAAGUGGAAGGUUCUAGGAUAGAAGUGGAGGGUUCUAGGGGUAGUUCUUAAUGGGUGAAAGCUUUCUCUCUCCUCUCUUUGGUGUGAAGAAGAUAGAGUCCAAAAAUCACAAACUAAAGGGAAGCUCAAUGUAUUUCAUUAAUUUUUGCCAACACUUUGAUCUUACACCCAACCUAGGGUUACAAAUGAGUAUAAGGUGCUUAUAUAUCAUGCCCUUGAAACAAGGGUGGAUGACUAAAAGCAAGCCAAAUUGUAAAAAAUUACUGUUUUUGUGAAUUUAAAUUGAAUCCCGUUUUUAGGGCAAAAUGACCCCCACCUAGAAUCUUGGAAAUGACCGGAUGGUUCCCAAAAAGGCACCAUAGGCUAUGGUGAUCGUUUGGGACCUAUUUCGAGCUCUUCCAACAACCUUUCGAUGAAAAUAACAUCAUAAAAGUGAUGGUCUUGGCCAGACAAUCAUUUUGAUAUAUGAUUUAAUCCUUGAAUUGAGCUUUCAAAUCCUUCUUGAAAUCUGGUGAAAGAUGGGAAACUUGCAAUCUUGAGUGCUUAAUCUUGUCCAUUUCUUGAUGUUUUGGGUCGACUUUUUCAUCAUAGAUUGAUGGGGAAGCUGUCAUGAUCAUUUCAUGAUAAAAAUGGCUCGAUUUGGUUGUUGGAUCAUCACUUUUCGAAUUAGGGAAGUUGACGGAAUAUGGGAUUCCGGUAGCUGAAAAAUGUCCCUUUUUGUAACCUCAAAAUACGACAUCUUUGGUCUUUCAUCACAUGCGAUGUUUACCUCAAAUCGAAGCCGUCGACAUCAUCGUCGCAACGGACCAUUUUCAAGACGAUCCGAGGCCGUGGCUUCAUGAUACAACCACUUGAUCAAAGGGGUUUCCAUCUUGCAAAAAUCUGCAACUCGAGUUGUUUUUUAUGCAACUUCUCUUUAAGAUUUCUACUCUUAAGAUUUCUUCUGUCUUGAUUGGGCUUAAAACGAAGAAGUUAUUGCUCUUGGAAGAUGAUCCCGAGUUCAUAAGGUAUGGUUUUUAGAAAUGGAAACUGGUUCGCCAAGGGCGCACCAAAAUAGUGUAAAACCUACCAUUUUUGGGUAAGUUGGUCCUAGAAUGGUCUAGAAGCACCUGAUUGAGCUGAAAUUCGAUAUCUAGGGGUUUUUGGACGUUCUGAAUCCAAUGGAAGCAAUCUGGUACUCUUAGGGAGUUAAAUGCCGUCCCCACAUACUUUUUGGGACCAAUUCGACACCCUUCAAAAUUCUCUAAAAAAUCAAGAUUUAUUCUAUUAGUGCUUCCGCAGUCUGCAGGUAUUUUGGUACCUGUAGGCUUAGGUCACAAUUGGCUUCCUCCUUAUUCUUACCGAGGAUACAAGUGUCGAAAAAUACCUUACAACAACUUGCCCUGCCGAAUGACUAAAAACAAGCCAAAUUUUUCAAAAAUUGAAUCCCGUUUUUGGGCCAAAAUGACAAUUUUGGCUCCACCUAGAAUCUUGGAAAUGAUCGGAUGGUCCCCAAAAAGGCAUCAUAGGCUAUGGUGAUCGUUUGGGGCCUAUUUCGCUCUUCCAACAACCUUCUGGUGGAAAUAACAUCGUAAAAGUGAUGGUCUUGGCGAGACGGUCAUUUUGAUAUAUGAUUUAAUUCUUGAAUUGAGGUUUCAAACCCUUCUUGAAAUCCGGCGAAAAAUGGGAAACUUGCAAUCUUGAGUGCUUGGUCUUGUCCAUUUCUUGAUGUUUUGGUUUGAUCUUUUCAUCAUAGAUUGACAGGGAAGCCGUCAUGAUUAUUUCAUGAUAAAAAUGACUCGAUUUGGUUGUCAGAUCAUCACUUUCCGAAUUGGGGAAGUUGCUGGAAUAUGGGAUUUCGGUCACCAGAAAAUAUCCCUUUUUGUAACCUCAAAAUAGGGCAUCUUUGGUAUUUCAUCACUUGUGAUGUUUACCUCAAAUCGAAGCCCUCGACGUCACGGUCGCAACGGACCCGUUUUUAAAAUGAUUCGAGGUCGGGGCUUCGUGAUACGACCACUUGAUCAAAGGGUUCUCCAUCUUGCAAAAAUCUGCAACACGAGUUUUUUUUAUGCAACUUCUCUCUAGGAUUUCUUUCGUCUUGGGCUAUGUCACUGUGCCAUAUAUCAAAACGUACGCGUUGACGAGACGACUUAUGAAAUUUGGGCAUGAUUAGGCUUAAAACGAAGAAGUUAUGGCUCUUGGAAGAUGAUCUCGAGUUUAGAAGGCACAAUUUUUCCAAAAAUCGAAUCUGGUUCGCCGAAGGUGUACCAGAAUAGUGUAAAACCUACCUUUUUUGGGUAAGUUGGCCAGAGAAUGGUCUAGAAGCACCCAUAUGAGCUGAAAUUUGUUAUCUGGGGGUUUUUGGACCUUCCAAAUCCAAUGGAAGCAUUCUAGUACCCAUCUGAGACCCUGAUAAUAGGUCUGUAGUUAUGAAGCACUUUUUUGGCAUGUUAGGAGCCUAAUUUGGAAAUUGAUUUUCCGUUUGGUCUGCUUUAACUUCGUCAGAUCACGAUAAAACUUGGCGGGUGCUCUUAGGGAGUCAUGCUCUUAGGGAGUCAAAUGCCGUAACCACAUUCUUUUUGGGACCAAUCCAACACCUUUCAAAAUUCUCUAAAAAAUAAGGGUUUAUUCUAUCAGUGCUUCCGCAGUUCGCAGGUAUUUUGGUACCUGUAGGCUUAGGUCGCAACUGGCUUCCUCCUUAUUUGCAUCGGGGAUUCUAGUGUUGAAAAAUACGCUACAACAACAACCAAAAGGUUGAAGCCGAUACUUAAAGGAAAGGGAAGGAGUGAGAGGUGGAGGAAAGUAACAUGCAUCAAGGGUGCGGAUCCUUUAGGAGCUUGGCUAGCUACUCUUGCACAAGAGUGACUGAUUUUCGUGCCCCUUCUGAUAUUUGUUGGGCCUUAGCUACCCCUCUAGCAAUAGCGGCUUCUGCAUCCGCCUGAGAGCGAGUAAGUACCAUCCCCGUUCAGAUGAUUUGGAGCAUUCCCACACACAUUCACAUGCAUACCAUGAGAAGGUAAAUAAGAAGAGGAAGGGCUAGUGUUUACCAUAUGGACCAUAGUCUUAGGUCCAUGCAUGCUCACAGUCCGGAACUCUUCCUCCGCUUCAAGUGAGAAUGUGAAAGAGUCAUUGGGGUGUCACAUGCCACCAAGGUGGCUGUAAAUUUCUUCUAUGAAGGGGAGACAGUGGACAAGAAGAGGGUCACUUGAGUUGGCAUAUCAAAUUCCAUGCAGGCCAACUCAAUGUCCUUCACCAUAUGGAGAAAACUCUCACAUGAUUACCAAUUUUUGAGUGAUCCGGCAUCAGGCAAUCCAUGAGCUUCUCAUACUCAUCACCUUGUGAGAGUAAGAUAGAGUAUCAAAGGUUUUUUUCAUCUUUUCAAUUAUUUCUUUGGCUGUCCUACACUUUUCAUACUCUUUUGCAUAAGUAUAGGACAUAGUGGCUAAGAGCACAUUCUUAGCACUUUGAUUUUCCGUGCUCCAUGUCUCAUAGGCAUUACGUGUGGCUUGAGCGGCAUUAAACGUGGCACAUUUGGAGGGUCUUGUGUGAUCAUGGGUAUGAGACCCUCCUCAUGGAGUACAUAUCCCACUUUCCUUCGCCAUUCAAGGAAAUUCGACCCGUUGAACUUCUCUUCUUUAAGCAAUAUGGUAACUAUCGAUUUGUUGGCCAUGCGCAAACACUUGAGCAAAGUUCUAAUACAAUCUAGGACUCACAAAAAGACUCAAAGGGACCUCUCUUAGAGUUUUGGCUUUGAUACCACUUGUGUAUAGAAACCAAUAUUCUUGACUUGGACUACAAAAAAUACAAGCUAAUAUACCUUGAAAUUUUACAAUACACUCACAAUUACAACUCGAAAAUUCAACUUACAGCCAGGUCACCGUAACCACAGUGAGCUACUUUCAUCCAAAUACAUUCAAAUAAGAGGAUACAGAUCUAUUAAGGUACCUUGCUUAUGAACAAGACAACUUACAAAAGGAAACCAUCAAACUACAUAUGUAUAGUGUGCUUUUGAAAUUCAGCAUUACUCAAACUUACAAAGAAAAAUUAUACAUCAAUGGACUUCAUAAAAUUCAUUAUAACAUGAUCUCUAUUACGUCAACAUACAUAUGCUCAAGUGUGCAAUGCAACAUGACCAUGGGAAGCCAAUCGGGGCUCUGGAGUGUCCGGUUUAUGGGCUUUGGUCUUAGCUAUGUGUUACUGGGUUAUAUGCAAUGACAUAUCUCAAAAUCGACCUAAUUCAUCAUCUAAUAAAGUGGGAAGUCAAGCAUCUACCGAUACCCAAUUAAAACAUGGAAGGAUUUGCAGAGAUCUAAAGAUCAAAUCAAGUGGAGAAAUCGUGGGAGAAAAUCGGGCUCUUAAAACACAAAACCGGUUCAAUCAACUUCACAAUUCGGCUCUCAAUAUUCUGACAUAGUCUCUUCUUAUAAAAGCAACAAUUCAAGAGAUUAAGAAGCAAAGUGUAAGUGACUGAUAUGAUAAAAAAAUCUCAGAUACAUAUCAGCAAUAAAAAAUUCCAAAAUCCAAGGAAGAAAGCUCAUGGAAAACUAUACUAAAAUGCAUCUUUGAAGCCUUUAACUAUAUGGAUCUAGUGAGAUCAAAGAUCAUUCAAAGGAUCAAAGAUCUAAUGAUCAAAGUAAUGUUGUAAUUAAAAAUUUAUUGCAAGGAGAAACGAAGGAAAUAAAUAGAAAUAGAAAUGAUCUAACUCAAUUGUUGAGGGCUUGAAGACUAGAUCAUCCAUGGCUUGAAUUUGAGCUUUGGAUCACCAUUAUGGAGUAAUAUAAGACCUUCAAUGGAGCUAUUCUCUCGCCUUAACAUGAAGGAGGAUCUUAGAGAGAAGGGAAGAAGAAGACUAGCUUGGGCAUGCCAUUCAAUGGAAGAAGAGAGAGAGAGAGAGAGAGGGGCGUGCCACUUUUUGGAGGGAAUUUGUGAAGUGAAUUCAUGUGUGAGAAAAUGUAGGCUUGUGAGGUAUUUAUAUGCUUCUAACUCUCAAGUGUGGAGAUGCUUCGAGAUGAAUGAAUCUUGGCUCUUCAUGUCAUCAACCAAUGGCUACAAAGAGAGACAUGAUCCUAGCCCACCAUCCAUCAUCAUGCCAUCAAGAUGUGUGGUAUGAAUUUAAACGCCUUUAUCUUCUUUUAAUUCACGUAAAUUUCCUUUGUUAUCAAAACGCCCAUGCUCUUUACAUUUAAUAAAACUAAAACCAAGAUGGAGGGUAUACCCUUAUGGUCAUUUAUUAAAAAUUCCAGCAAAAAGAAAAUCUUAAAAGUUCCUUCCAUUUCAUAAGAGCAUGUGGAGCUAAUGAAAGCAUGCCACAUAAGCUUAGGUGGUUAAUUGCACAUUUAUCAUAUACCCUUAGAGUUUGGCUUGUAAUUACAAAUUGUAUACCCCUUCUAGAAUCCUCCACACAUGUGCACAAAGCCCCCUUGCUCAAAGAAUCCAUAAAACUUCCCAUAAACCCAUAAAAAUCAUUUUAAUGAUUUUCCAUCAAAUUAAAUCAUUUUGGCAUUGAUUAAAAAUAUUUACAAGGAAAAUUAGGAUCCUUGGAGUUGAAUUACGAAACGGAGCAUUUCACUUGGCUAGAUUUGGAAUCCAAAGCCUUCUCGGUAUGACUCAACAAACUCAUGACCCACAGUAUAUAAUCAGAGGCUCAUGAUUUGAGCCUAUCAAAGUCAAACCGAUGUGCGAAUCUGAAUCCUCAAGUAUAAGUGGAUUUCAGGUGCACCCCCUAGAGGACAUGCACACACAUGUGCGGGGGUUCCUCUCUUGGCACAUGUGCAUAACUCUAACAAGUGGAUCCCUAGAAGAGUGGCUUCCCAUGCACUGCGAAUGUAUAUGCAUAUGUUAUGAAAAGGUUUUAGGAAUCAGGGGUUUUGGCCAAUGUCCUCUAUUGGUCGUAACCUUCCCAUACAAGGCUGUUAGUCAUCAAGUUCAUACAUAAAUAGUAUUUCCUUGGCCCAUCACUCAGUCAUGAGGCACAAAUAUAGUAACUGACUCUGACUAAGACGUAACGAUCAACCCUCUUGGUACCUCCCACAUAUAAAUCCUCCUUAUGACUUAAUCGGGGUUCCAUGACUCUUGGUCCCAGUGUGUCAAGAUCCCAGAGUCAUGUCACUCUUUUACUCCCACUGAAGUUACGAGCGAUUGAAAAUGUCGAAUUUAAGGCUUUGAAAUGACAUAAUUCCGACAAGAAGAUGGGUACAACCCAAAGUUCUAAACAAUUAUACCCCAGUGCUAACCUGGAAUCAGGAACUGUUCCUAACUUCGGUAAUUCUUUCAGCUUCUAUGAGAAUCCUAAUGUUGGACUUACCCAUUAUUGUAUGCAUGGAUAAGCAUUAUUUUGUUCAACAUCCUGUAGGGAGGUUUGUAUCUUAUAAAUCUGUGUCUUCUUAUCGUGGCUUCAUAAUUGCCCCAUCUUCAGUUCGAAUACCUUCCUGAGUUGCACAUGGACUUUCACAACCUCAAUGAAAGGUUGUCUUGGGUGAUGAGAUGUAAGCCCUUGGGCAAAAUAAUACAUGGGAAAUCACCAAUCUUCCUAAAACAAAGAAGGUCGUAGGAUGUUGGUGGUAUAAACUGUUAUAAACUGUGAAGUGCAAGGCUGAUGGCACAUUGAAAGUCAUAAGGUCAGAUUGGCUGCAAAGCGCUUCAAUCAGACUCUUGACAUAGACUACCAAGACACAUUGAGGAUCUGUCUUUCUCGAGCUGCUAAUAAAUCUUUGCCUCUCCACUAGCUAGAUGUGAAGAGUGCAUUCUUGCAUGGAGAUAUCCAAGAAAAGAUCUAUAUGUCCAUGCCUCCAGGUAUUCAGAUUUAUUCGGAGACAGGAAAGGUGUGCAAGUUAAAGAAGGAGAUUUAUGAACUUAAACAGUCUCCUAAAGUGUGGUUUGGAAAAUUCACUAAGGCAUUGCUGAAAUAUGGGUUUAGAAGUCAGGUUGAUCAUAUGCUCUUUGUAAAGAAGAAUAGUAUUGAGAUUUUAGCCCUUAUAGUGAAUGUCGAUGAUAUUAUUGUGACAGGGGACAAUGUGAAGGAUAUUGAAGAUUUUAAAUCAUAUCUAAGCAAGGUGUUCAAUAUCAAAGAUUUAGGACCCCUUAAGUAGUUUUUGGGAAUUGAAGUGGCAACAUCAAAGAAAGGGAUAACCAUCUCCCAAAUAAAUUAUUAACUGAACCUAUUACAACAAACUGUAAUGUUCAGAGCUAGACAAGCCGAUAUUCUUAUAGAAAUCAAUCCUAAACGUUAUGGAGUAGGGGGAGAGUUGCUGGAAAGUUCCAAAUACUGGGCAAGCUCAUAUUCCCCACAAUCGCAUGACCGGACAUCUCUUAUGCGGUUAGUGUGGUCAGCCAAUUUAUCCAGGCACCACGUAAACCACAUCUUGAUACAAUGUAUCGGAUAUGGAGAUAUCUCUGGUCUGCUCUAGGAAGAGAGUUAUUUUUCUCUAAUCAAGGGCAUUGUUAUGUUGCUAUUUACAUUGAUGCUGAUUGGGCUAGAUGCCCAACUAAUAGGAGAUCCAUAACUGGCUAUUGCACCUUUGUUUUAGGAAAUCUGGUUUACUGGAAAAGCAAGUAACAAAAUGUGGUGGCAAGAUCAAGUGCUGAAGUGGCAUAUAGGGCUAUGGCUCAUAAUACAUUUGAAGUACUGCGGGUCCAAAAUGUUUCAUCUGAUUUGGGAGGUUAAAGUUAAGCGUCCUUGACUUUGUAAUGUGACAAUGAAAGACUAAACACAUUAAAGUAGAUUGUCACCGCAUUAGAGAGAAGGUUGUUGCGUAGAUCAUUCAUACUCCUCAUGUGAAGCUUAAAGAUCAACUUGCAGGUAUCUUCACUAAAGCUGUUGGAUGGGAUAGACUGCAAGAUAUCACAAGCAAGUCGGGCAUGAUUGAUAGCUAUGCACUAACUUGAGGGGGAGGGAGCGUUGGAAAUAAUUAAUUAUUGCUAUAUUUGAUGGGUAUAAAUGUCUUUAUUUUUGCUUAGGUCAUAUAUGUCCUAUUUCAUUGUGCAUGGGUAGUACUGUAAUUGGUUCACUUUGUUGACAUAAAAGGAGGUACCUGUUGGUCAUUCUAGGCCAUCACCUCUCUCUCUCUCUCUCCCUUCCUCACGCUCUUUUUGCCUCUCAAUCUCCCUCUCUCCUCCUUUUUCUUCCUUCUUUUUCUCUCUCUUACUACUCUCUAGUCGCUUACCUUUGUUUUUUCUCCUUUUCUCUUCUUUAGUUUUCCCUAACAUUAUUUUCAACUAUUUUAACUCACUUUUUAAAUCCCAGAUUGCCUGGGUGAGCUGGCCAUCCCAAAAUUUGGCCAAGAUUGGCCAAGCACUGAUCUGGGUUGGUGAAUUGGAGUGAUUCUCUUGUGUGAGAAUUCGUCCUAAUUUUUUAAAAAAAUAAAAUAAAAAAGGAAUAUAUGUCUUUAAGAUAAUGUAAUGUGUGGGAACCGGUCAAUCUGGCUGGUCCAAAUAGCCUAGUUCCCUGACAAAUUCGCCUAGUUCCUUGAUCGACCUAGGUGAUUCCAUGGAAACAAGACUUGUUCCAUGGGAACCGGACCAAUUCCAAGUUCUAACAAGGAACCGGGUUGAUCACGAGUGAUUCCUUCCCAAAUCAGAUUGGUUUUUUAAACACUAGUUUAGAUCAUUUUAGACAAAAUAAUGCUUAUAUUCUUUGGACCUCGUAAUUCUAGAGGUUUAAAAAUUAAAACUUGGAAUAUAUUCAUGUGAAGGAACGUGGAAGUCAUCUAUCUACUCAUUUAUAUUAAACCUUAUGAAUUAUUGUUGUUAUUGUAUGUUUGGAAUAUAUUCAUUUUAAUGUUUUGUGCAAACAACCAUAAAAUAAUUCUUGCCGAGCUCUCAUUGGAAUUGUUUGGAAUUCUCUAUUGGCCAUUAGUUUUAACAUGGAUCAUUGAAUUGUUAAUGAAGAUAAAUGCUGCUGACAAAUUUAGCUUCUUAAUCUGGAGAAUUUAACAAUACAAUUCUGUGUAUUGCACUUGGUUAAAUUGCAGUUAUACUUGUUUUUGUGUCUUGUACACUUUAUCAGUAAGGUGUUUUUGGCUUAAAUGAUUACUUUCACUGCAUCUGAAAUAAGUAAUACGAAGACAAAUGGUUAUGCUCCUUUUUGAUAACCAUCUUGGUCUAGCUGGUUAGUACUUUAUGAAAGUGUAGAUCAAUUCCCUUAACAAGUGACGAUUGACCCUGAUCUUCUUUUCUUUGCAGAAUAUGAUCAGGAAAGAGGAUCUGAUGCUACUAGAGGAUGGGCUACAUUUGGAGUACUCUCUUGUGUGUAAGUUGAUAAAAGAUCCUAGUUAGACAAGCUGUAAAUUAGGUUAUUUAUUUUUUAUUCUCUUCAACAAGUAUUGACUUUAAAAUUCUCUAGCAAUACUCCAAUAUCAAAUACAGGUGGAAAACAGAAUCAUAUAUAGCAAGUAUAUUGUCUACCAACAUCUCUCUUUCCUUGAUAUAGUAAGUAGCUCUUGUUGGAAUAUCAGUCCCUCAAGCAGAUCAGGGGAAAAAAAGAAAAAAGAACUACACAAAUAUAUAUCCUAGUUAAUCUGAGUUCUGCCCAUUAUGUUUGUAAUAGGAUUAGGAUUAGGUGCUCUGUUUAGGUCAAUGUGUAAUCUUUUACACGUGGAAUCAGGGAUUUAAAAACCGGCCCUAGAAUCGCCCGGGUCGACACAGGAAUCAGCCACCCCGUGCCGAUUCUCAUGAAAUACAGGAAUCAGGCGGUUUUAGAGUGAAAACGACGUUUUUUACCGAAAAAACGGCAACUCGCUACAGUAAAACGGUGAGUCGCUACAAUAAACAUUGUUCUUCCCUUUUUCAGCAAAAAAACUGCUGGAAGCAUCAAAAUUCAUCAAAAUUUAUCGUUUCUUGAUGAACAAUGGAGGGGAAUCAUAUUUUAGGUCCGUAAAACAUUGAUUGGGUUUGGAUUGAGCCUAAAAAAAUACCGGAUUGUGAAUUUGUUGAUUGAAAUUUGGGUUUUUUUUGAGCGGAUUAGGGUUUUUUGCCAAUUCGAUAUUUUGGUGGCCAUUUUUUCAUUGAUUUAAUCCGUUCUUUUUUCUUAAUGAUCAUGGUAAUACAUGCUUUCAUCAAAAUCAGGUACUAUGAUUUGUUGUUUUGUAUUUUAGUUUUACGAAUUUUUUUUUGGGGCGAGAUUCAUGAUUUUGAAAACCAAACCGUAAAUCAUGGGGUCAUUCUCCAUCGAUUUGAUCCAUUUUUUUUUUUUUGUUCUAAUGAUCAUGUUAAGAUUAGAUUCCACUAGAACCAGGUAACACAAUUUGUGGUUUUGUAUUUUCUUUUUGUACGAAUUUUGUUUUUGGGGUCUCUGCAUGUGAACACUUAUAAGGUUGAUUGUUGGAUUAUUUUUUUAUUUAUUUUAUGAAUUUCCUUUAUAGAUUGUCUGAUUGUAUGAAAUCUGAUUUUUCUUGUUUGAAUCAUUGUUGGGUUUUCAUUUUUAUUCUUGUUUUUCAUUUUCAUAUUCUCUUGAUGUUUAUUGGGGGAACAUUUCUUUUUUUAUUUUUUUUAUUUUUUUUCUGAUAUAGAGUUGUAGUCAUUGUGAGCUAUUAUUUUUACGGGGUUUUCUGCCCAAUUUCCGAUUUUUUAUUUGCGGAUUUGUUAUGAGCUUCUUUGGGUUAUGGAGAUUUCAGGUAUCAAUUUCUAACUCUAAAAGUGUACUGUAAUGUUGCUUGUCUUUUAAAGUUCUAAAUAAGCAAAACUAUUCUUUCAAAAUGGGUUGCAUUCUCUAUUUCCCUUUUCUUUCCUUUUGUUUUUCUGUUUGGGGUUCUUGGACUGGCUUUGAUCAUGUGGCGUUGCUUUCAGAAUGAAGUUGCAAUGUUUAUUUUGUUAGUAGCUUUUGUGGUAUCCUUUGGAUUCCCAAUUAACUUUCCUAUGUGGAUUGGGCAACACUUUCAUGUUCAGAAUAAAGAAGGGGCCUACAUUUUCUAUCACUACAAUAUUUCAUUUUUGGCUGACAUUGCAAGUAUUUAUUUUCUCUAAAUACAGCUUGUUGUCCAAUAUUGUUCUUAUGGCUUCCUCACAAUUGUUUCUCUUUGAAGGAUGUUUGCACCUCUUCUUAUUUUAUCUUUAAAAUUGUUGCAUGCUGCUUAUAUUAUUGAAUAUCACGAGCGCAGUCUAUAUCCUAAUCCGUCCCAGCAAGAAAACAACGUAUUAUUGAAUAUCACGAUACCUUUUAUAAAUCAAAUUAUCUUCAUCUUUCUCUGAUGUUCUUGUAGUAGCAUUGGGUAUCAGUAUUAUAUCCAUUUGAACAUGUUUCUGAUGACCCAGAAGUUUUGGGGGCUGCAAGUAUCUCAUUGACAAUUGAACAUCUUUCCGUUUUCCAAAAAAAUGAAAAUAUGAGAUAAGUUUUUCUUUUAAUACGAAGUCACGUAAUAUCCUCUCUAGGAUCAACUGUGUAUCCAACAAUAAGAGGCUAGGGGCGAGCAUGACAGUGUAGGUGAGCAUGAAAGAUGGACAAGUUUCGGGGAUUUUGGACUAGGAGCGCAACAAAAAACACUAAUACUCAGAGAUACUCAGGCGCCCACUAAUUUGGAUGAUUUGUUCCUAGAUCAAGUCAAUGAAUUGUCAUGCGAAUUCAAUGAAUGGGAACAACAUGACCAAAAUAAAAAAGAACAUCGCCUUUCAUUUUGGUUUUAGGUCAUAUUUUACAAAUUGUAUGCUUUAUUUUAGUCCAUGUAUGAUUAUAUACUUCAUCCAUGAUAAUUUUAUGAUUAUUCUUUUGUGUGAUAUAAAUUUAAUGGGUAGCAUAAGUUCAUAUAGGGAAAGAACAUCUCAAUAUUCGUAUAUUGAUUCACAAAAAUGAAAGUUAAUAAUGUAGUACCCCAUUUCUUAUUGGAUUCCUAAAAACCAACAUUUAUAAUGAUUUUUAAUAAUUUUUUUGGAUUUUUUUAUUGCCGAAUUUGACCGUUUCGGCUGAUUCCCCUCCGAUCUGCCGAUUCACCGAUCCGGAUGGGUUUUUGGGGUGCUUGGUCCGCGGCACUGAUCCGUUUUUUAAACCACUGCAUGGAACAUAUUUUUAUAUAUUAUGUUAUGAAUUCCUUUUUUCUCUUGGGUAAGUUGGUUGAGUUCAAACUCAUUUCGGUCUGAAACCGAAAAAAGGGUAGCUUAGAAUUAUGGGACAAACUCCAGAGGCUCGAAUCAUUGACAUCUUUUGAGCAAUCUGGAUGUCUACCUACCACCAGGCUGCAGCCUAAGGCACAGAAAUGAAAAAGGUUGGGUCAGCUUGGUUUGAUUUUUGAGACAAAUUUUAAGUGUUCUAAAGUCUCGACUUCCCUCGCACAAACAUGAUUCUUUCCUUCGAAAAGAAGUCCAAUUGACAAUAAUUUUCUUUUUCUGCUUUUUGUGGAAAAGAUAUUAUCUACCUGGUUAGCAGUAUUUCAUUCUGUAGCCUUAUAACUGUGGUACUUACCCAAGGCUUUAUUGUACUGGGUUUUGUAUAAGUCCCGUUUAUGUAAAAUUUUAAUAGUUGUUUAUGUGAACUUCAUUCAUGCAGGUUCAUUGUGCUAGCAUCAAUCUUCUGCUGUGCUGGUUUCGUUUACAAAAUUCGAGUUGAGCACCAGGUGAGUUUGCCUGUGUUUGUGCAUAUGCACAAUGAUAUCAGGCUGGUGAAAAGAAUGAUAAUUGUUUUGACAAUUAAAAUAAUGAUAUGGCUAUGAUGAAAAAUUUCCCUUGCAACUUUUGUAGCGAGGAUUAGAUGCCUUGCCUGGCAUCACAGUGCUAUCUGCCUGCCUGGAAGCUGUAAGUGCAUCAAAACCACCAUCCAUUAUCAAUAUACACCCCCCCACUCCCCCCACCCCUCUCUCUCUCUCUUGACAUAUAUAUGUAUAAAUACUUGCCAUGGUAAAGGGAUAUAGUGUUAGACUGACUUGUUGACAUUAAAAUAGGUGACUGGAUCAGAGUUAGGCUACUCACGGGCUGAUACUCUCAAUGGUAGCUUUGUCAAUUCCACAUCAUGGGAUAGCUUGCCUGUUACUGAACAAGCAACUCAAAGAACAGGAGAGAGAAAAUAUGGAUCCAUGUGAAGCAGAAGCUCUAGGUGUUUUGAGGGUUAUGGAUUUCUGUCUUUUUGAGGGAGAAAAGAGUGGGCAACUGAUUGAAUAUGCUGUUGCCUGAAGAAUGGGGAAUUUCGUGCUUCCUAAAUUCUUGGUUGAGAGGGUCUAUUGAAGAUCGCAGGGCGCUGUGGACGACUCUCCACAAUGACUUACAUGUUACCUAAUAUUGAUAAAUGAAAAGUAAUUGUGACUUCAUUGUAUGUUUAAGUUACAGUUACUAAUGCUUACCAUUGACUAUGUUAACGAGUGGGAGGUGACUUGAAGUUUUCAACUUUGGAUACGAUGGAUUUUUCUCUCAAGUUUAUUACCCAAAGAAAUGUCAUCCAGUGGAAACUGCAUCAUCAUUCUUUUGCAUUGAUUUAGUUUAACAAUAAUUUCCUUUGGUGGCUGAAUGCAUUUGCACACGCAUCAUGAGAAUCCUUCAAGACUUUAAUUGUUAAAAGUUACUGUUUUUUACUAUUUCUAGAUGUAAUGCUAGGUGAUGACAUAAAUAAAACCAGUAGAAUUUAUUGUUCUUUGAUGAAUACUAUCAUUUUGGCGAGCUAGAAUAUUAUUUUGGACAUAGCUGUGUCGAAUGAAAACAUGGUAUCAGCCUUUCUCACUGCAAAUGACUGUCAGGGAUCGCUUCCAAAUUUUCACAUGCAAUCUUUGGACCUGCAUAUAUAUCUCUGGAGCUUUGAAACCUUGACACCUCACUCCUAUUCUUUUUUAUUCAGAUGUUUUAUAUUCUAUUUUCUGUUAUAGAGUUGUAGUUACUCCGGGCGAAAAAACAAUGGCUUCCCAUGCUGACGAAUGGUUACAAUGGGCAAAAUUUUCGAAAGACUAUCAUAGAUCUCAAGACAUUUCACAUAAGCACUCUACAAUGAUGCGUCAUGCGUAAAUAUACAGACCACAAGUUUCACACAAAGGAAGUACAUGGUCAAAACCAAAUGAGAGAGAGAGAGAGAGAGAGAGAGAGAGAGAGAGAGAGAGAGAGAGAGAGAGAGAGAGAGAGAGAGAGACGUAGUACGUACGUAGUACGUACGUACGUACGUACGUACGUUACGUUACGUUACGUACGUACGUACGUACGUACGUACGUACGUACGUACGUACGUACGUACGUACGUACGUACGUACGUAGUACGUAGUACGUAGUAGUACGUACGUACGUACGUACGUACUACGUACGUACGUACGUACUACGUACGUACUACGNNNNNNNNNNNNNNNNNNNNGAGAGAGAGAGAGAGCACAGUUCAGCUUAGUUAGCUAGGCGACAAUUAGUUCUUACUUCCCCUUGGCUUCCAAGGAGAGGGUUAAGGUUACCCAUUUUCACCAUGGACUUUGCAAAUUGAUCAAAGAAGAGGUCUUCAUUUUCUGCAUAGCUCUGGACCAAAUUCAUGGUCUUGCCCCCACUUCAGUAACUAGCACCAUAUCUGAAUUCAGAAGCGACUUUCCCCAAAGGAGCAGCUUGUAAUAGUAGUUAUCGAACUUUGUGGGGCUCACCAUGUCCAAAGGAGAGAGAUUAUUGUCUCCACCUGAACUUGGGCAACAUGAUGUCAGCCUGUUAUAGAAAUCUCCCUCUAGAGAAGCAUCUGGUUGCCCAUUUCCAUUCUGGUUGUACAGUCUCUGCCUGAAAGUCACACAUCUUGCCAUUCCAAGUGUGUGACUCCCUGAAACAAGGUUAAAAAAUAAAGGCUUAGAUGGGUGAAGUGAUGAGAUCACUGUGAAGUUUACUUGUUUAGUGACCGAUAUGGUCACCGUUGGGAAUUCCGCUGUAUUUAGCUUCCAUUAUAUGCUCCAGUUUUGAAUUUAAACCAUUUAGCUGCCGACUUAUGCUCAUGGUUUGAAACUCUGUUAAAUGAGGAGGUAGAUGAUACAGAGAAUUAUCUCUCGUACAAAAACACUGGCGCCUAUCCAAAUGGAAAAACAUGAUCAUCAUUUUAAACCGAGUGGUACAUGAUCAUGGUUUGAAAUUUUGCCUAAUCUAGUGGCGUAUAAGAAAAUAUAUUGAACUAUGAGGCUCAUACAUGAUCAUGUUUUGCCAAAACUAUAGCCAUUAAUAUGAUUGUCAGUUACAUAAUCACUGUCGGAACUUUGACAAAAUUAAUGGCUCAUACAUGAAUAUGUAAUAAGAAUAGUGAUCCUAUAGGACCCUCAUCCAUUCAUGUGUAUAGGACCUCAAAGGAUUACACUAAAGGUGGCACGGAUCUUUAAAAAAGUUAUCACAUAAGUGUAAAACUUGAUUUUUUUAUAGAUCCGUACUAAAUUUAAUGGUGAUCUUUUAGGAUCCUACACACAUAAGUGGGAGAAGGUCCUUAUUGGAUAAUUUUUCAUGUAAUAGUACCGAUAUUAAAGAUUAUGGAAUGUUUAGCAGGUUAAAAAUGAGCUGAUGAGCUGAUUUUAAAAAUUGCAACCCGUGUCUACUGAAGAUAUUCGAAAAUGAAGGGACUUUUGGUCCACCUAGGAUAGGUUUGGCCCCCCUAUUUUGCAAUUAAAAAGAGGUGGAUUAUUCCAUCUUCAAGCAAGAAUUAAGGGCUACUAGAUUUUGUUCGCUAUAUUGUUUAAAGGGUGCGGUUUGUAUAGAGCCUAGGCUCUAAACAAUAAAAUUAGAGCCUACUUUAUGUCGAGAAAUGUGUUUUUAAUACGGAAAAUCUUUGUGAUUGUUUUAAAAUAUAUUUUUAUAUUUAUUUAUAAAUUUUAAAGCUUAAAAAAUAGUAUAGAUAGACAAAUCUAUAAAAACAUGAAAAUCUCGAAAAUUGACGGUCAAAAAAUACGUUAUAAAAUGUACUAUUUCCAAAACUUGAAAUCCGUUUUUUUACCUUGUCCAUGCAUCUUGAUGGCGAGAUGAUCAAUUUAAAAAUAUUUGAGCAUCAAAACAACUUCUAAUGAACGUUUUGAGAGAGGCUCAAAUUUGACUGUUCAGAGCCUUGGCUAUAUAUAAACUUUUCCCAUUUUUAAAUAAGACAGGCCCGAACAAUGCGUCUCAAUUUGCAAGACAUGUAAUUGGGUUGGUAUAUUUGGCCUUCAUUUGUUUGGGGCAACGGUAAAAUAAUUAUGUAACGGAGAUGCUACCAUAUGCAUGAGAGAGAGAGAGAGAGAGAGAGAGAGAGAGAGAGAUGCCUGAUAGUGCAACCAGGUCGACUUCAUCAAGCCCCUGUUUACUGAAUUGUUGGAGAAGGGUUUGGAAAGUAGAGUUUGGUGCGGGCACGUUGGCGUCUGAAAGGCUUAGGCUUGCUGUCCUCGAGUCUCUCCUCCCCACUGCAACCUCCCAGCUCGGUCCACCACUCUACACCAUCAAAACAAUGCCCCAACUUAACCUACUUAAAAAUAACUCUUAGAAAGUAAAGGUUGAGAUUAAAAAUAACUCUUAAAAAGUAAAAAUUGAGAUUCUUACAUCUUUAGCAUGUGAAAUUACAAUAAAAUAAGUAUUUCACAUACUCAUCCCUAAUUGCACACUCUCUCUCUCUCUCGAUACAAUUGGAGCGUAUGUUAUUUUACCAGUACACUAGAAGCUCUAGCAGCAAGGGCGAGAAGGUCAGCACAUGAAACAACUCCAGGACAUACUGCUUCAAGUUCAGCCUUUACCAAAUCAACCACUUCAAAACCUCUCACUGAAUUAAGAUUUGGGCCCGACUUCUUCUCGCUCGCCACCGAUUCGCUGUUGUCUAACAGAAGCGAACCAUCACAACCCUAAAAAAAUUCAUGGUGAGAGAACAAACUAAACGUCAGGACCUUCUUUUGAGAGAACCACUGAGGGAGGCCCAAAACAACAUAUUUAAGAAAAAGAGGCCUACCUUCCCAACAUGGAUAAAUGUUCAACAUUAACUGGCUUCGUAGAGCUAAAAAAAGGAUGGUUGAGUUCAGAGUUGGUUCAAAUAGGAAGACCAAGAGGCUUUUCAAGAUUCGACUGGUCACCAUACGGUUAGGGAUUAAUCAGAACUGGUGGGACCGAUGGUCGAAUCAAUAAUAUCAUAUAUGAAAAAAUAAAAGAAAAAAGAAUAAAAGUUUAGAAACAUGGACCGCAUCAGAAAAUAUUUGCUCAACUUUGUUUUAACCAAAAAUCAGCUACUUUGACUAAUCAAAUAUCAAUUUUGACUAGUUUUCGAUCAAUCUCGAAAUUAGAAAGACCGAGACACCAAUCAGCUGUCCUACCAAGGGGACCAGCCCAUCUUGGUCCAAAUCUUGACAACUAUAGACAAAAUCUUGUGAUAUCAGGGAGAGAGAGAGAGACCUGCACAAAGCAAUCAUGAAAGUGAAGCCUAAGCAAUGAAGCAGGAAGCCUUGGAUCCUGGGCAAAGGCGUUCUCCAACACUCUAAUCACAACCUCAUUUGCUUGAGGGCAUGUAUAGUCGUAGAAAUAAGGACUCAGUCCAUGGUAAUUGUAACUAUAAUUCACAUUGGAUCGGCUACCAUCCCCAUCGCCCCAAUAAUAAUAGUCGGGAAAAAAAGCUAGAGAGAGGGAGAAGGAGAGAGAAACCAUGAGAAGACACAGUGAAGCUUUAAAUCCAUCCAUGGCUAUUGCAGUUUCACCUAUUCUUGGAUGGUUAUGUAAGGCUGGGCACAAGGGAUAUAUAUAAGGCCCAGAUGACCCUCCCAUGUUUGGUCACUAACUCUAUUAUGAUCAUCCAUAACACUCGGAGAGAGAGAGAGAGUGAGUGUUUUUUUUCACCCUAGUAAGGACAAGCAUACCGUUCAUAAAGUUGAAUUACAUUAUUAACCUAAUUCAAUUUAAUAAUGAGAAACUAAUCAAAAUGUAUUUUAAUGGAAACUUAUCAAAAUGUAUAGAGAUGGCCAAUUAAAUGUUUACCCGAUUCAAUUUUAAAAGCCCUAUCAUCGAAAUGUAGAUUGUUAUCAAGAGUUGAAAUAGUUGAAAAUUGAUAAAAAGUUAAAAAGUUUUGAGUAAAUCGAUUUUGAGCUGUUAGGAGCAGUGCAGUGUUGCCCGGGAGUCCUUUUCGAUUUGGCCAGAAAAAACGAAGCAAUUUGAUGUUUCAGCCAAUUUAGAGGAAGACUUUGGAAUUUUUAAGGUUUUUAAUAUUAAUAAAAUAUAUAUUAAAAUAAUAAAAAUUUUAAAACAAAAAAUUCAAUAAAAAAUACAAUUAUAUGCUUUGGUUGUUGGGCUAGAAGUUUAAGCCGAGGAGGCAGAAUCACAUCGAAGAGAGCCGAAGUACAAAAUUAAUUUUUUAAAUGACAAUUUUGUGCUUCUGUUGAAGAGGCCAAUCAGAACGAAUUGAGCUGAAGUGGCCCAAAGCUAUUUGAGCUUCGUUUCACUUUGGUCUAGACAAAAAAUCCCUUCCGAAAGAUUAUUUUGCUAAACUCACGCACAAGCUUUUCCAAAAAGAUGACCAAAGAGAUUUCGGCCUUUUCCCAUCUUUUUUCAGAAUUUUUAAGUUGAUCAAUCCACCACGUUUGUGAAGUGACUAGGAAAUAAAAUAGGUAAAAAAGAUAUUAAAAGAGUAGUGGAGUGGUGCAGUUGUUGACUUGGUGUGGGUAAUGCCUUCUCCACUUACCAUGAAUCUCAUUGUGUGGAGUGGUUUAUAACUCCAAAAGGUGCAUUAGACAGGACAAUGCAUAGCUUAAUUGCCACCACUUUGAACUAUGUAUUUAAAAAUAAGCGCGUAUAGCAUGCUCCCGCAGGAGCAUGUUGUAUAACAAAUCCCUCAGGAAAAACAACUAUUUGGCUGGACUCUUUUGAUUCAAAAUUUUGAGAUGCAAGAAUUACUAGAUAAUCGUUUUCAAGUUUUUUUUGUUUUUUUUUUGGAUUUUGAGAUCCAAGUAUCACUAAAUUUUGUUUUCGAAAAAUUGGGCAGUUCCAAUGCAAUAUUGGGAUGUCAUUUUCUUUAAGCGCAUAGAGGGUGUUCAUUGGGUUAUACAGAUUACAUCCAUGACAUUUGCGAUCUAAAAAAUAUUUUUAGAGUGAGUUUUGUUUUAGGGAAUAGACGGAGAGUAUAAUCGAACAGGAGUAAGAAAUAUUCGUGCUUUAAAAAUUGGCGGCAUGUUUUGCCUUUACGGAAUUUGGCAAAGUCGUAUAAAAGCGCAUCAGAAAUUGCUCUCCCCGGCAUUGAAAUUCCGGUGAUGUCCUACAAAUAUUCUUCCAACUCAGAUUGUGGAAUUUGAAGUUCAAAAAAUAGUGCAAAAUGCGGCCGAUCACAAAAAACGGUAACAUACAGUGUAAGAAAAUGUGUUGCAGGGUCAAAUAUUUUAAGAAUUUUUUAAAAUCCUUUUGGCUUAAGUUGUAAAAACCAUUUUCAAAAGGUUGAAGUCUAUUUCUUUAGAGAAAUAAUAAAAAAAAUUCUUUUUUAUAAGGUUAUUAGGAAUAAAUCCCAAAAUUUUCUUCACCACUUUUCACAUUUUUUUGACCCAAAUACCCUUCCCGGAAGUAUUAGGUCCAUGAAGGCAGUACGGUAAACGCAGAACCGUGAUGGUCAUGAUGGGUUCAAACGUUGUUGGUGUGGGGCUUAAGUCAUCACGUUUCUAUUAGGACCAUGACGAUAGGGCAGCAUUAGAAUCAUCAUGGUACUUUCAUAACCGUGUUGAUCAACUUGAGUAUCUCGGUUCUUGUACCUCCGUGAUAUCCUUCACGGUUUAAUUAGAGUUGUGAUAGUUGAAUAACUCAUUACGGUGCUCUAAGUGCCAUGAUGCUUCAAAUCAAGGAUUAAAAAAUCACCGAGUUGAGCAGGACUCACCCGGUUCGACUGGAAAAUCGCUAGAGAACGAGCCGGUUCCACGAAUAAACUGGGAAUCGCCUGUUUCCAGAAAGAACCGGACGAUUCCCAACAGUGACUCGCGAGUCAGGCCGAGUCAGACCGCAUCAUCCGCAAGAACACGGGCUGCAUAUUAUUCUUCACGGGAUUUCAAUUUUUUUUGUCAUUUUGUUAUCGAUUUUCAACUUUUUCAGCCUUAUGAAUGAAUCUUACAGGCUUUAAUUCAAAUUUCGCAUCAAUUUCAAUCAAUAAAACGAAUUAAAAAGCACCAUUUUUUAUCAACAAAUUUGGAUCAAAGAGUGAGUUUUAGGGUUUCUGCCAUUUCACUGAUUUCAAUGGAAAGAACGCAUCAUUUUUUGCAAAAUUUCAGGGUGAGUGAUCGUAAGAGUGUUGAUCAGAAUUUUGUGUUCAUAAUUUGUGAUUAUCUUGGAGGAAUACAUAUCAAUUUUGAGUUUAACGGCACAGGUGCACGAAGAACAGAUAAGAACUGUGUUUUUUUUUUUUCCUCCAUGCGAUCAAAUUCAGUCAAUAUUUUGUAAAUCAUGUAUUAAAUUUAUAGGAUUUUGAUUCGUAGUAGUGUUGUUUAUCAUCACAUGUAUUCAAUUUGAUUAUAUUUAUUCAAUUUGAGUUGGAUUUUAUAGAAAACAAGAGUGAUGUCUGUUAAAAAAAAAUGGACUGUGUUUUUUUUUUCCGCCAUUUUCUCAAUUUCAGUAAAUAUUUUGCAAAGAAUGUGUUGAAUUUAUAGGGUUUUGAUUUGUUAUAGUGUUGUUUAUCAUUACAUGUAUUCAAUUUUAUCUGAUUUAUUCAAUUUGAGCUUCAUUUUUUAUUUUGAAUGACUGAUAUCUGUGAAGAACUGCUUUUUUUUUUUUUUCCUCAAUUCAAUCGAUUUUAUUUAAUAUUUUGAUGAUAAUGUAUUAAUAUUAUAGGGCUUUGAUUCCUUAUAGUGUUUUUUAUCAAAAUAUGUACUCAUUUUGAUGUAAUUUAUUCGAUUUGAGGCGGAUUUUUGAGUUGGAAUGACUGAUGUUAGGUUGGUUUGUAAAGAACUGGGUUUUCUUUUUUUAUUAUUCAUGAUCAAUUUUUUUGAGAAAUCGUGAUUUUUCGAAAAUUUAUUUUUGAUUAUCAUUAGGAACUAAACAAUAUUUUUAAUUUUUAUUGUUAAAUUUCUAGUUCAAAAAAUUGCAUGUUGAUAGAUUAUUUAUACAAAAAAAUAUAUUUUAUUAUAUUUUUAAUGCAAAGCUGUAUUUUUUAAUUUUUUGUUAAUGUAAAAAAAUACAUUAACAAAUACAUGUUGUUAAACUGUAUUAUAUUUUUAAUGCGGUUUUGAAGUAUUUUUAAUUUUUUAAAUUUUUAAUGCAAAAAUUACAUGUUGUUAAACUGUAUUAUCAUGAGGAAUUAAAGUGAAUAUCAUUGUAAAAAAAUCAUGGCAUGUUAUUAUAUUUUUAAUGUAAAAAUGUAUUUUUUAAUUUGUUGUUAAUGCAAAAAAAUACAUUAACAAAUACAUGCUGUUAAACUGUAUUAUAUUUUUAAUGUAGUUUUGCAUGAAAGAAAUAUUUUUAAUUUUUAAAAUUUUUAAUGCAAAAAAUACAUGUUGUUAAACUGUAUUAUCAUGAGGAAUUAAAGUGAAUAUCAUUGUAAAAAAAUCGUGACAUGUUAUUAUAUUUUUAAUGCAAAACUGUAUGUUUUAGUUUGUUGUUAAUGCAAAAAAAUACAUUAACAAAUACAUGCUGUUAAACUGUAUUAUAUUUUUAAUGCAGUUUUGCAUUAAAAAAUUAUUUUUAAUUUUAAAAAUUUGUAAUGCAAAAAAUACAUGUUGUUAAAUUAUAUUAUAAUGAGGAAUUAAAGUGAAUAUCAUUGUAAAAAAAUCGUGGCAUGUUAUUAUAUUUUUAAUGUAAAACUGUAUUUUUUAAUUUGUUGUUAAUGCAAAAAAAUACAUUAACAAAUACAUGCUGUUAAACUGUAUUAUAUUUUUAAUGCAGUUUUGUAUUAAAAAUUUAUUUUUAAUUUUUAAAAUUUUUAAUGCAAAAAAUACAUGUUGUUAAUCUGUAUUAUCAUGAGGAAUUAAAGUGAAUAUCAUUAUAAAAAAAUCGUGGCAUAUAUGAGAAUUAUAUUAUCUUGUAAUUUUUAAUUUUAUUAUUAAAUUUUUAAUGCAAAAAAUGUAUGUUCUUGAUAAUUGAAUUGUAGCUAUGUUGGCGCUUGUUUUUUUUUAUAUAUUAUCUUUCAUAUUUGUAAUUGAGAUGUAUAAAUAUUUGUGAUCAUUUCAAUCGAGUUGAGAUUGUGCCGACUAUAUCAUUGUAAAUUUUAUUUGUGGCAUUGUGAAUGACUAUAUCAUUGUAAAUGUUUUUUGUGUCAAAUAUACGUGUAGUGGCAUUAUGGAUGACUAUAUUAAUGUAAUUUUUUUCUUGAUUCUAAGUGUGACUUAUACAUAAAUUUUUUUAUCUAUAAUGUUGCAUAAAUAUUUUUUUUUCUCAGUAGGAACUAAUUCAUGUUUGUCGAAGAAGUCCAUAUGCAUUAGCAUUGUGAAUUACUAUACCAUUAUAAAUAUAUUUUUUAUUGAUACUAUAUCAAUGUAAAUUUAUUGUUCUAUAUGUAGUAGCUGAUAUAAGCUAUUUUUAUCUAUAAUGUUGCAUAAAUAAAUUAUUUUUCUCAGUAGGAGUUAAAAUAUUUUUGUCAAUAAAAGUAUUUUGCAUUAACAACAAAUAUAACUUCAUGAACCACCCUUACAUAUUAUCACUACACAUGGUGAUUAUUUUUCAUGUUCAAUUGUCAGGUUAAUUUUUAAACUUUUACAUUUUAAAGUUGAACCAUGGCAAGAUCUACGGAAGACCCUGCAUGACAACAUGGGGUCAGACUUGAUCCUAACAAAAAAGACAAAAUUAUUUGUAAUUACUGCCAAAGAGUGAUAAGUAGUGCGGUACAUAGGUUCAAGCAAUACUUGGCAGGGGUUAAGGGAGAUGUUUAUGCAUGCAAUAAUAUCCUUAAUAAUGUAAGAAAGCAGAUGGAGGCAUUUCUUAAGGCUACCAAAGGUAAAAAAAUUGCAAAGUAGAGGAUGGAUGAGGAGAUAGCUAGUUUAUAUACGCCAUCAAGCGGGAAUGAUCCAGAAGAGCAAUAUAAUAAUGACUUGGAGAUGGCCACAAGAAUGAGUUCACAUGAAACAUACCAGAGGGAAUGUGCGUUUAUAAUGCUUGGUGGUUAUAACAUGGGCAUGCAUGGUGGGCCUAGCUCAGACAUGCAUGGCAGGCCCAACUCGAGCAUGUAUGGCAAGCUCAGCUCAAAUAUGUAUGGAGGGGUUGGUGGCAAUAUGUAUCAAGAGGAAUCGGACGUUGAAGAAAUUGUUUCUAACUUAGCUAGGAGUGCCAGUAUUGCUGGUCAUGGUCAUAUAAACCCAUUUCUCUCAAAGCCUAAGUCAGAACAAAUGACCCUCAAAGGCAUGGUGAAAGGUACGAGAAACAUGUUGGGCAAAUAUAUAAGAAAAUGGUUCUACGAUAAAGGGAUCCCCUUUGAUGCAGCCAAUAGCCCAUAUUUUCCACCUAUGGUCAAUGCAAUCUAGAGAGCCGGGCCCGGGGUCAAACCCCCGACGGCAUAUGAGCUCAGUGGACCAAUAUUGGAUGAAGAGGUGGAGGAAGUUAGAAAGUGGAUUGAAGAAUAUGAGCAGAGUUGGCCAAGAACAGGCAUUACUCUAAUGAGUGAAGGUUGGUUGAAUAAAGUUAGCAAAAAAAAGUUUGUAAACUUCUUGGCCUAUUCCCCAAAAGGUAGAACUUUUUUGUCUAGCAAAGGCGUAUCAGAGACAAAAAAAGAUGCAAACUUCUACGUACGACUAUAUGAUCAGAUAGUGGAGGAGGCGGAGAUAAGUAUGUAGUCCAGUUUAUUACAGACAAUGCACAUGCAUGUGUUUCUGCGGGCAGCAAGUUGAUGGAUAAGAGGAAGCGUCUAGUAUGGACCCCGUGUGCUGCACACAGCAUCGAUAUGAUGUUAGAAGAGAUCGGUGAGAUCAAAAUUGUGAAGGAGACUCUACAGGAAGCAAGGUUGGUGUCAAGAUUUAUAUAUAACCAUUUUAAAAUUUUAUUUUUGUUCAGAGAACAGUCUAAGAAAAAAUAGAUAAUCAGGCCUACCAUAACCUAGUUUGUGACAGAUUACUUGGUUGUGGACUCCAUUCGGGAAUCUGAAGGUGCAAUAAAGAUAUUGUUUACCAGUGAAGAGUGGUUAAUGACUGCCUCUCAAAGUCCAGUACCGGGCUAAAAGUGGACGACAUGACCUCAAAUAGGAGGUUCUGGUCUCAAUGUUCCAGUAUCGUAUAGGCCACCUUCCCUUUGGUCACGGUGUUAAGAAUGAUGGAUGUUGACAAGAAAGCUACCAUAGGCAUAUUUUAUGAAGGUAUCGAGAGGGCCAAAUCAGCUAUUGGGGAGAAGUGUAAUAUCGAGAUUAUAGAAAGAAGGUGGAGCAUAAAAUUUGGACGUCCAAUUCAUUAUGCAGGUAAAUAUAUAUUUAUAUCAUUAGAAUGUUUCAUCGUAAAUUAUUUUUUUAUGAAAUUUUAAAUGACAUUUCUCUAUCUAUAUAUUUUUCAGGUUAUUACUUCAAUCCAAAAUUUUUCUAUUUGGCACUUGAACAUCCCCACAAGAUUAUGAAAGGGGUCAGAUACAUUAUUGUCAGGUUGAAGAGAAGCCAAUGAACCAGGUAGCAGCAAUACAUGAGGUAUUAUUUAAUAUUUUGGUAAGAACUUGAUUGAAUUGUUAUAUUUGUGAGGAAUAAUGCAUUAGAACGAAAUAUUUUGUUUUAGCUUGCUAUGUAUAGGGAUGCUAUAGGAUCCUUCGAAACUAAACUUGCCAGGAAUUCUCGAACUAAGAUGGAUCCAGGUUAUCUCCUAACUAAUUUUUUGUUCAUUCAUAUAUUUAAUCUUAUAAAUUAUUCUUGCUCUUACAAUGCUUUUUGCAUUUUAAUCCAGCUGAAUGGUGGGAGAUAUAUGGUAGUGAUGCACCUCACCUAAAUAGGAUAGCAAUCAAGGUGCUCUCCUAGACAUGUUCUGCUAUUGGCUGUGAGCGAAACUGGAGUACGUUCCAAUGGUUCACACUACUAGAAGGAAUCGACUCUCUUCGGAGAAGCUUCAUAAAAUAGUCUACGUUCAUUACAACUUAAACCUCUGAGAGCGACAAAUAAGAAGGAAGCUUGAAGACUACGGGCCGAUAGACUUGGACACAAUAUUUGUCACAGACACAGCAGAGCAAUGUGUAGUAGAAGAAGAGGAGCUAAUGUUGCACAACAGAGCGUUCCUUGAGGCUAUCCGUGAGGAAGAUCUUGAAGAAGGUGAUGAGCAGCAUGAAAGAGGAAGCAGCCCACCAACAUAUCCACAAUUCGUCAGAGAUGUCGGUGAUAUUGCACCUAAUGAGGGAGAGUGAGAAGCAAGUCUAAGGGAAAAUGAGAGAGAUGAUGAUUCUGAGGCCACCCAAUCCCAGCCAACUUAUUCACAUAUUGAGUCCUAACAACAAGAGGGUAGAGAUGAGCACGAUAGUAUAGGUGAGCAUGAAGGAUAGACAAGCUUCGGGGAUUUUGGAUUAAGACCACAACAAAACACUAACACUCAGGGAUUUGAAAAUAGUCAGGUGCCCACUAAUUUGGAUGAUUUGUUUUUAGAUCGAGUCAAUGAAUUGUCACGUGAAUUCAAUCAAUGGCAUCAGCGUGACCAUGAUGAAGAACGACAUCGUCUGUCAUUUUAUUUUUAGAUCGUAUGUUACAAAUUGUAUGCUUUCUUGUAGUCCAUGUAUGAUGAUAUACCUAAUCCAUGAUAAUUCUAUGUUUAUCCUUUUGUGUGAUGUAAAUUAAAUGGUAAAUAGUAGUUCAUGCAGGGAAAGAACAUAUCAAUAUUCGCAUAUUCAUGCAAAGAAAUGAAAAUUCUUAAUGGAGUACCCUCAUUUCUUAUUGAAUUUUUAAAAAACAACAUUUAUAAUGAAUUUUAAUAUUAUUUGCGGAUUUUUUUUAAGGCUUAAUCCAACUGAUUCAGCCGAUUCUCUAUCCGGAUCGCCGAUUCACCGAUCUGGAUGGGUUUUUGAGAUGCCCGAUCCGGGUCACCGAUCCUCUUUUUAAACAACUGCUUCAAACAUAGUUCUACCAGAACCAUGAUGACUUCAACCCAAUACAAAGUCAUUUAAAAUCCACUUUGACCAUCAUGGUUCUGGUUUAACGGAUCUAAGACUACCAUGAAAAGUAUUUUUGACCAAAAACAUACAAAUAGUGAUGAAAGGGAUACAAAUGAAAUUUGGAAAAAUUUGGGGUUUAUGUCUAACAAUCUGACAAAAAAAAAAAAAGAAAAAAAAAAGAAAAAAAAAAGAAUACUUUUUAAUAAUUUUCCUUGUUUUUUUGCAAGUUUCUUGGCAUUGGAAUUGGAUUUUCAAGAAGGAUUUGAGGGAUAAGUAUGUGAAGCCGUGGUCCAGCCAUAUAUUUCCUUAUAAGGAGGCAAUGUUCAACAACUCAGCCGAGUACACUAGGCCUGGACCGAGUUUUCGGCAUUGACCAAUGGUGCAGAAAUAAAUUUUCAUUUUAAUUUUCAUGAGUAUUUUUUGUGUUGUAUAUGACUUUUUUAAUUGAUAUUAAAAAUUACUUAGUUAAUUUGAACUAACAAAGUGCCAAAAUUUAAAAAAUAGGAAAAAUUUUCACUUAUAAAUAAUGAUUUGAACAAUAUUGUUUAAAAAGUAGUUUUUAUUAUCAAAAUUAAAUUUAUAGUUUUGAGAACUAUUUUUGCCUAGAGAUGGAAUUAUAUUUUUUUUUAUUAAUACAACAAAUUUUAAUGUGUCUCACAUGUUGAGUAAAUAUUUUUAUAUUCAAAACUACAAUAAAAAUAAGUUCUCACUUUAGUUUUCAUGAGUAAAAUUUAUUUUUGCGUGAUAUAAAACUUUUUAAAUUGAUACAACUUAGUAAAUUUUUUAAUAACAAAAUGUCAAAAAUUAAAAGAACUAUUAUUAUUCCAUUUGAAAGGACGUAGAAAAACAAUGGGUGAGACAUGUGGCACUUUUCCUCCACCAUUUAGUGGUGCUAUGCUGGGAAUGGGGCUGGGGACGUAGUGGUAGCACCCCCACACCCUAGUCACCAUGUUGUGGUUUCCAUUCCCAUUACUAAUGCGACCCCACUAAUACCUUUUAAAAAGCUAACUCCUAAUCUGCUUGAAAAAACAGGUAGGGGUCUGUCUUCCCCAUCGAUGGGUAGCGCCAGUAGAGGGUAGUUUGAGAUUGAAUGUUGACGACAACUCAUUGGAGAAUUCAGGUUCAGCUGGUUUGGGGAUGGGGGGGGGGGGGGAAGAAUACAGUGAGAAACUCGAUAGGAAAUAAUUCUGUGUUAUGGGGGGCCUUGUGGUGAAAAGACGGCAAAUGAAGCAAAAAUCUUAACGACUUUGCAAAGAAUGAAAAUUCUAAAGGAGAGGGGAAUUCAGCAGUCGUAUGUUAUUGAGCUGACAUAAUUUUUGUGAAUGAUCAGAGGCCGGAUGACAUGAAUUAGAGGUUGAAGAUGACAUACUUUUCCGGUUGUUGGAAUCCCAUUUUCAACUUCCCAAAAUUGGAACAUGCUCAAACGAAGACCAAACUGGAUGAAAUUUAUCACAAAAUGAUCAUGAUAGUAUUAUCUUCAAUUUGUGAUCCAAAUGAAGGCUUGGAACGUCAUAGAUCGUGCCAGAUUGGUGGUCGAAGAAUCACAAGUUUAUGGAACUUGGCCAGAUUUUGGGUAUCAAAACGUGCACAAUAGUUCAAACAUAAAUUCUACGAUAAUUGAUCACUCGAAUUACCACCGUAAGCGUCUAAAGAAAUGCUCCCAAAGCCUAGCAAUGAUAAGAGGCCCCUCAUGAAGGGAUGGUUUUGUCAUUUGUUGAAAACUGUAGUUCUUCGAAGCACGGUCGCAACGAAGCCAUACUUACGACGAUCCGGCAUCGGGAUCUUGAAUUUGAUGUUCUUUUAAAAUCUGAAUUUUCAUGCUUCGAGCUCUCGAAAUUCUCUCGUUUCGGGCCACGCUAUGAUGCGUGUUGUAUAUAAAAAAAAAAGUGAAUCGCAAGUUCUAGCUCGUGUCCGAAUUUGACCUUAAUUGGAUUCAAAACGAGCAAGUUAUGAGCAUUUGAAAAUCAUCCCAAAAUGAGAAAACAUAGUUUCCAUAAAAUGGAAACUAGUUCACCGAGAAUGCACCGCCAUAGUGUAAAACCUACCUUUUUAUGGUAAGUUAGACCCAGAAUGGUCCCGGAGGGUCUGAUUGAGCCGGAAUUUGGUGCUUAAGGGUUAUUCGACGUUCUAGAUCCAAUGGAAGGGGUUUGAUACUAUUUUGAGACCUAAAAUAUGGGGCUAUAGUUAUAGAGUCCAUUUUCAACAUGAUAGGAACUGGAUUUGAAAACUAAGUUUUGUCUGGAUCAUAUCAAAACUCGUCAGAACACAAUAACACUUUGUGGGUGUCCAUAGGGUAUCAAAAAAUACCCUCUCAUGCAAUUCGAGGCCAUUAUAACACUUCUUCAGAGGUCGCCCAAGUUUAGAUUUAUUACUAUAAUGUUCCCAUGGUUUGUCCGGCGGGACCAGGUUACUACCGGCUCACUCCUUAUUCGCCCCAGGGAUACAAGUGAGUCAAAAGUUACAUAUAACACAUUCGUUUGAUCAUCAACUAAUGAAAUUUCGACAACCUUAAGCCGUAUUAAUGUUUAACAUGUUAGUAUGGGGCCUGCCAUGCAACGGACUGAUAUGUGAGCCCAUCAUCUCAGUCAUGUUGCCCAGGCUAUUUCCUGCUUACUGGAGGUCUCGGGACCUGACGCUAGUUGAAAUGACACUGGUAGCAUUGACACUAUCGUCAGGCAUUUAGGCUUUUUUGAGCUCACUAGAGGCCUGGGUAUGGGCGCUGACGCCAAUGGGAAUGGUGUCGAGUGUCUACCUACACUGAUCACACAUUUUUGCGACUGAGGUGCCUUUGGUAUCUUACCAUUAGACUUUUGAUAGGGCAUCGGUGUCCAUUGAGGUAACGUCAGAGGCCUUCUUUCUGAAAUGCUUCAUGGUCAGGUCUUUAUGAGUCUGUUUUGCCUUGUCUAGUCUCUUGCUGUCUUUGGCCCCACUGGAGCAAUAAGGGUUUGGUGGAGGCUAGGUUUACGGAAAAGGGAUUUCAGUGGGGUGAAUAGUUUGAAAUAUCCGAGUGGUUUGCCUAGGAAAUUUCAACCUAUCCAUAACUUCUGCAGUUGAGAUCAGGGUGUCUACAACGUGCAUGCACGUUUGGGUCAUAUGAGAGAGUGAACUCAAGGUACUUCUCGAUAAAGACCUUCUCCCUGGUUUAAAAUUUUUUUAAUUUAGAUUUUUGUGAUUCAUAUUUAUUUGGAAAGAAUAACAAAUUGUGCUUUUCUUUAUCCACAGCUAAAAGUACGAAUUUUUUACAAUUGAUUCAUUCAGACACAUGGGAAUCACCUGUUGUUUCUAGUUGGGGGGGGGGGGGGGGGGGGGGGGAUGGGUGUUGUAUAUUUUUUCACUUUUAUUGAUGUUUUUUCAAGAAAAAUGUGGGUUUAUAUGCUGAAAAGGAAAUCAGAUGCCUUCAGUUGUUUCCAAAAAUUUAAGGUCUUGGUAGAAAAUCAGAAAGGUAAGAGCAUCAAGUGUCGAAGAACUGACAAUAGGGGAGAAUUUUGAUCUGGCGAAUUUAAUAAUUCUUGUAGUGAGAAUGGUAUUGCUAGGAAUUUGAUAGUUUCCUGAGCCCCUCAAUAAAAUGGUGUUGCUGAGAGGAUGAAUCGUAUCAUUAUGGAGCGUGCCAGGUGUAUGUUGAGUGCUGCCGGGUUAGAGCAAUGUUUCUGGGCCGAAACAGUUCGUAUAGCUUGGUUCCUAAUCAAUAUGUCUCCCAGUUCUGCUAUUGACUACAAGACAAUAAGAAGAGAUUUGGACAGGUAUACCUGUUGAAUAUUCUUUCCUUCAUGUUUUUGAUUGUGAUGCAUAAUAUUUGAUUCCAAAGGAGAAAAGAACUAAGUUGGAUGAAAACCCAAGAAGUGCGUUUUUCUUAGCUAUGUUGAUGAUACAAAGGGGUAUCGAUUGUGAGAUCCUACUUACCAUAAUUUUAUAAUUAAUUGAGAUAUUAUUGUUAUACAUCAUUUUUGACGUACUUAUGCCUCCCACGCGAAUAAUGAGAGAGCAGGUAACAAUUUGGUCAUGUUGGUACUCAAAACACCGACAGACCAAAGUCAUGUUGCGAAAUAAGUCUCGGACCAGGCAACCUGGGAGGAAUGCUGUCGCGCCAAAGAGAGACACUACAACUGUAGCCCUAUGCUAACGGCUUUAGAAUGGGGGGGGUGGGGGGGGNGGGGGGGGUGGGGGUGGGUGCUAUUAUUUUACUUACUAGUUAGUUAGUAGUUAGUUUUUACGUUAAAGAAAAGUAAGUUGGGUUUANNNNNNNNNNNNNNNNNNNNNNNNNNNNNNNNNNNNNNNNNNNNNNNNNNNNNNNNNNNNNNNGUGUGAGAGAGNNNGUGGGGGAGGGGGGGGGUGGGUGGGUGCAUAUUUUUUCACUGUUAUUGAUGUUUUUUCAAGAAAAAUGUGGGUUUAUAUGUUGAAAAAGAAAUCAGAUGCCUUCAGAAUGGGGUGGGUGCAUAUUUUUUCACUGUUAUUGAUGUUUUUUCAAGAAAAAUGUGGGUUUAUAUGUUGAAAAAGAAAUCAGAUGCCUUCAGUUGUUUCAAAAAAUUUAAUGUCUUGGUAGAAAAUCAGAAAGGUAAGAGCAUCAAGUGUCUAAGAAUUGAGAAUAGGGGAGAGUUUUGAUCUGGUGAAUUUAAUAAUUCUUAUAGUGAGAAUGGUAUUGCUAGGAAUUUGAUAGUUUCCCGAACCCCUCAACAAAAUGGUGUUGCUGAAAGGAUGAAUCGUAUCAUUAUGGAGCGUGCCAGGCAUAUGUUGAGUGAUGUUGGGUUAGAGCAAUGUUUCUAGGCUGAAACAGUUCGUACAACUUGGUUCCUAAUAAAUAGGUCUCCUAGUUCUGCUAUUGACUACAAGACAAUAGAAGAGAUUUGGACAGGUAAACCUGUUGAUUAUUCUUUCCUUCAUGUUUUUGGCUGUGAUGCAUAAUAUUUGAUUCCAAAGGAGAAAAGAACUAAGUUGGAUGAAAACCCAAGAAGUGCGUUUUUCGUAGCUAUGUUGAUGAUACAAAGGGGUACAGAUUGUGAGAUCCUACUGACCAUAAUGUUAUAAUUAGUUGAGAUAUUAUUGUUAUACGUCAUUUUUGACGUACUUAUACCUCCCACACGAAUAAGGAGAGAGCAGGUAACAAUUUGGUCUUGUUGGUCCUCAAAACACCGACAGACCAAAGUCAUGUUGCGAAAUAAGUCUCGGACCAGGCAACCUGGGAGGAAUGCUGUCGCGCUAAAGAGAGACACUACAACUAUAGCCCUAUGCUAACGGCUUUAGAGCAGUACCAGACCACCACCAUGGCACUCAGAAUGUCUGAAAACCCUCAAGGAUCAAAUUUUGGAUCAAUCGGACAACCCAAAGGGGGUCUACACCCAUACGGCCUCAAAACCGGUAGGUAUUAAACUAUCACAGUGCGGCUUCAUUGAACCAGGCCCCAAGCACGGAGACUGCAACAUCGCAUAUCGAGAUGGACUUCGAAGAACCUACAAUACCUUCACCAAGAAGCAGAAAAAGUUUAGACUUUGACAUGUUUUAGAUCAUGUCAGCCCUCUCAUUUUGGCGCGACCCAGAGUCAAAAUUCUUCUAGAAAGAAUGUGAUCACAAAACAAAAAAAAUCAGGGUUUUUAAGAAGAAGACAUCUCGAACCUCGUGAAGCACAACUCGGAAUCCGCGCAUGGGAUAAUCGCGACUUCAAUGCAACCACCUCGCGAAGAGCUACAAACUGGUAUAACUAUCGUACAUCAUCCAAGGCCCGAUAGGUACAAAUCCCCAACUUGCCAGGAAAGCAAACCCACUCGGUCACCAGAAUCCCUUUUCCCCGUGACCUCCCAAAUUAGGAAAUGCUGCAAAUGAAGACCAAAACAGACCAAACUUGGUGCAAAACGACUGUGACAAUCUCGUCAUUCACAUGCAAGCAGAAUGAAGACUCAAAGCAUCACAGGUCGAAGGGCACUAGCGAACGAAGUUAACAAAUCUGACCGGACUUCCACCACGUGGGAAAAGGCUGCCUCAACACGACUAAAGGGCAUCAAAAUGCUCAAAAUCAAACACGCAUUGAGGAUAUAACAACAAAUCGGCUGAACUAUCGCUACAAGUGCAUAGAAAAGCUUCUCAGAUCUGGCAAUGGCGGAAGGACUCUCAAGCAAGGAUGGUUUCAUCAUUAGCAUAAAAAGUCUCAGGGGUGUUUUGGUCAUUGUACCAAAUUUCAAGAUUUUAUUUUAAUUUCUUUAAAUGUAAUUAAGCUUUGUAUUUAAGCAUUCACCCCUGUUUGGUGAAUUCUCUAUAUAAACAAGCUUAAGCCACUUGUAAAAGGGUUGACUAUUGAGCAUCGUUCAUAGUUAAAACAUAGACAUAACAUUUGUUUUCACUUGUCUUUUGCUUCUGAACCUUUAAUCUCGACGAGAGGAGAGAGAAAACUUUUCCAGAGAGAGAAAAUACCCCUGAGUGCAUGGUCAUCUUCUCGAAGCGAGAAAAUAUCUUUGCCCGCGCAAGUGCAUUCUCUUUCUCUCUCAAGCCGGGUCACAUCCUGUGCCCUUUCUCUCUCUCCUCUCCUCUAUGCAUUGUUUGCCCCAGGCAGCAGCCCGAGCCCGUCAGGGACACGCGGUCGCGAGCACUCCUGCGAGUGCCGAGCCUCACUUUUCUUUUACACCUUCUUAAGCCAGCUAGUCGGUCCCCCUCUAAGAGGGAACCAUUGUGAAAGGGGGAUAACCGAGCCCUAUUGCAGUUGUACGAGAGAGAGAGAGAGAAAG
Molecule: long non-coding RNA, 34586 nt
Filed under: Amborella trichopoda
Lineage: Eukaryota; Viridiplantae; Streptophyta; Magnoliopsida; Amborellales; Amborellaceae
Description: long non-coding RNA (ATRI_LNC002103)
Source: RNAcentral